UUAAAUCAAAUAUGUAUGGAGUUGGAACGUUUGCCUACGUUUGCCGCUAGGGGCGCUGUUUUAACUGCAUAUAAAUUUGAGUUA
RNAcentral lists this microRNA precursor (84 nucleotides) under Bombyx mori (domestic silkworm). RNAcentral's name for it is "mir-2807 microRNA precursor family". It matches the Rfam family "mir-2807 microRNA precursor family". The record is from Rfam by way of RNAcentral. Lineage: Eukaryota; Metazoa; Arthropoda; Insecta; Lepidoptera; Bombycidae.